Molecule: long non-coding RNA, 513 nt
Filed under: Piliocolobus tephrosceles (Ugandan red Colobus)
Lineage: Eukaryota; Metazoa; Chordata; Mammalia; Primates; Cercopithecidae
Description: lncRNA (ENSPTEG00000003671.1)
Source: RNAcentral
AUGUUUGAAAUACCAGAACACUAUAGAAAAUAUUAUGUUUCUUAUAAAAAAAUAAAAAAAAACAUAAUAAAGAUGAGCAAAAAAUAUAAAAAGAAGUUAGAAAAAGAAUCAAUACAUAAUGCCGCUAAACAAAUUGACAAACAGGGCAUAAAAAUGUUGCCACCAUUUCUUUAUAAUGACAUCAUCAGUCACGAAAUAGAAAAAGUAAAUAAAUUCGGUGAAACAAAAUAUAAUGAAAUUAUAAAUAACUUGAUUAGUAUAUACAAAAUGUUAAAAAUGUUAGAUCUUACAAGUGCUGAAGUAAAAAACACUAAAUAUGGAGUAGGUACAGAUGUAAGAACAGAUUUAUUAGGAGAUAUGGAGACCCAGUUAGAUUUAAUGGGUUGUGAUAUUAUACAUUUUAAUUUUUAUAUUUAUAAAAAUAGUAAAAUAAUAAUGAAAUUAGGUUUUUUUUUUUGAUAAAAUAAUGAAUAUAUCAAUAAACCAAUGGAUGUUGUUAGGUUUAAUAAAACA